CACGUAGGGGACGAGCGUUGUCCGGAUUCAUUGGGCGUAAAGCGCACGUAGGCGGAUCGAUCAGUCAGGGGUGAAAUCCCAGGGCUCAACCCUGGAACUGCCUUUGAUACUGUCGAUCUGGAGUAUGGAAGAGGUGAGUGGAAUUCCGAGUGUAGAGGCGAAAUUCGUAGAUAUUCGGAGGAACACCAGUGGCGAAGGCGGCUCACUGGUCCAUUACUGACGCUGAGGUGCGAAAGCGUGGGGAGCAAACAGG
This 253-nucleotide ribosomal RNA is filed under the name uncultured bacterium. RNAcentral describes it as "partial 16S ribosomal RNA". It matches the Rfam family "Bacterial small subunit ribosomal RNA", at positions 524 to 776 of the family's 1533-position model. The record is from RNAcentral.